Molecule: ribosomal RNA, 467 nt
Filed under: uncultured bacterium
Lineage: Bacteria
Description: partial 16S ribosomal RNA
Rfam family: Bacterial small subunit ribosomal RNA
Source: RNAcentral
ACGAACGCUGGCGGCGCGCUUAACCCCUGCCAGUCGCACGGAAAGGCCCUGCUUUUGUGGGGUGCUCGAGUGGCGAACGGGUGAGUAACACGUGAGUAACCUGCCCUUGACUUUGGGAUAACUUCAGGAAACUGGGGCUAAUACCGGAUAGGAGCUCCUGCUGCAUGGUGGGGGUUGGAAAGUUUCGGCGGUUGGGGAUGGACUCGCGGCUUAUCAGCUUGUUGGUGGGGUAGUGGCUUACCAAGGCUUUGACGGGUAGCCGGCCUGAGAGGGUGACCGGCCACAUUGGGACUGAGAUACGGCCCAGACUCCUACGGGAGGCAGCAGUGGGGAAUAUUGCACAAUGGGCGGAAGCCUGAUGCAGCAACGCCGCGUGCGGGAUGACGGCCUUCGGGUUGUAAACCGCUUUCGCCUGUGACGAAGCGUGAGUGACGGUAAUGGGUAAAGAAGCACCGGCUAACUACGUG